Molecule: ribosomal RNA, 211 nt
Filed under: Bdellovibrionales bacterium
Lineage: Bacteria; Pseudomonadati; Bdellovibrionota; Bdellovibrionia; Bdellovibrionales
Description: partial 23S ribosomal RNA
Rfam family: Bacterial large subunit ribosomal RNA
Source: RNAcentral
AGUUGUCGGUAAACCGGCACAGCUGGGUAGCUAUGUUCGGAACGGAUAACCGCUGAAAGCAUCUAAGCGGGAAGCCAACCUCAAGAUAAGUUUUCCCUGGGGCUUCGGCCCCCUAAAAACUCCUUCUAGACUAGGAGGUUGAUAGGCAACAAGUGUAAGCACAGUAAUGUGUUCAGCUAAGUUGUACUAAUAAGUUGUGAGGCUUUUUUUA